AGUCUCAGUUCGGAUUGAAGGCUGAAAUUCGCCUUCAUGAAGCCGGAAUUGCUAGUAAUGGCAGGUCAGCAUACUGCCGUGAAUACGUUCCCGGGCCUUGUACACACCGCCCGUCACACCAUGAGAGUUUGUAACACCCAAAGCCGGUGGGGUAACCUUUUGGAGCCAGCCGUCUAAGGUGGGACAGAUGAUUAGGGUGAAGUCGUAACAAGGUAUC
Molecule: ribosomal RNA, 217 nt
Filed under: uncultured bacterium
Lineage: Bacteria
Description: partial 16S ribosomal RNA
Rfam family: Bacterial small subunit ribosomal RNA
Source: RNAcentral